This 499-nucleotide long non-coding RNA is filed under the name Lynx pardinus (Iberian lynx). The record is from RNAcentral. Lineage: Eukaryota; Metazoa; Chordata; Mammalia; Carnivora; Felidae.
CAGCUGGACUCAGUUUAGAUGAUCCCAAUUUUGUUGGCAACAUCCAAAGCGUCAUAGUCAGGAGCCAGUGGAACAUAUGUCUUCUUCCCUCCAUUGGGCCUGACCAGGGUGUUGACCUUGGCCACGUCAAUGUCAUAGAGGUUCCUCACAGCCUGUUGGAUCUGGUGCUUGUUGGCCUUGACAUCUACAAUGAAGACAAGUGUGUGGUUGUCUUCUAUUUUCUUCACGGCUGACUCAGUGGUCAGCGAGAACUUGAUGAUGGCAUAAUGGUCAAGGUUGUUUCCCCUGGGGGUGCCCUUUCCUGGAUAUUUGGGCUGCCUUUGAAGACACAGUGUCUUGAGCCAUCAAAAGGUAGGUGACAUGCGGAUCUUUUUUUUCCUGUGACCGUGGACACUUUUAGCACCGCUUUCUUGGCCUUCAAAGCCUUUGCUUUGGCUUCAGCUUUGGGAGGGUCAGGGGCUUCCUUCUCUGCCUUCAGUGCCAUCUUUGUGAAAGGGCU